CGUGUCUCGGUCUCAGCUAAACUUUUGAAAAAACUGUUUACAAAUGUUCUUCCAGGGCAGGGGCUGGACAAGUCACUUUUGGAUCCCCUUCCAAUUCUGUGAUUCUGGACCUAAAAACUAGGCAAUGAGCAGAGAGCAUCCUGGGACAUCGUUCUGGUCAGCUGCCCGCCCUGCCCCCUCCACCUGCUCUGAGCCAGGAGCUGGGGAGAGAGACCCACGCUUCAACCAACUCAGCUUUCCGGGCAGUGGGUUUAAAGGAAACCUUUAAAUAGCAGCAGCUGUUGCUUUCUCAGGGAAGUUUCUGGGAACAUGUCUGCUUAGUUCAGGUCACAUUUUGAGAUUCUCUUUAGGACGACUCUACUAAGAAAUAUCAAGCGUUAGUCUCCUAAAGCAGUUUAGUCACACAUUCAGAAGUUUAUGUCAUUCACACACACUGAGAAACUGAAUAGACAGAUGGACAAUGGCCAGAACAUACACAAAAAUAGAACCUUGGCCCGUCACCUGCAGCAACGGCCCAGGACACCGCCCCCUUGUCUACAAACGACCAGCCAGGAAGCCGGCCUGCUGUGCAGCAGGCUUGCGGGAGCCAGACAACUACGUCCUGUGACACCAGGAGGCUAAACUCUGGGACAAUCAGCCCCCAGUGGCCAGGACUUGGGCUCAGCCAGAAAUCGGGACCCCCAUCGGAAGGGACAGCUGAAUCUGCUGGACAUCAGAGGCGGACGCCCAGGGCCCUGCGCUCACACGGCCAGGAAGCCAAAGGAGAGAACAAGGCGAGAGGCAGAGCCCGAGGCCUGCGGACCCCACAGCUAACUGCACCUGUGCUCCCAGCAUCUGUGGUCCAAGGGUGGACAAUGACAUGGCCUUGAAGGGAAGAAGGCUGGAAACCAACAGCUUGACGGGGUAGAGACCAGACCUCAGACACCAACACAACGGAAAGAAAAUGAAUGUCACCUGAAUUCUUCUGACACGAAGAGGUGUGCUCCCUUCCUAUGAAACUCUGAAAAGUCACCCACAGUGGGGAAGCCUCUGUGUGUGCGUGUGUGUGUGUGUGUGUGUGUGUGUGUGUGUGUACAUGUGCAGAGGAUCAUAUUUGGAAAGGUACAAGAGAGUCCAAAAUCCAGGCCGGAGAUGGACUUUGGAAUCCAUUCCAUAUUAUGGGACUUUUAACUGGAAAUGUUUACCGACUUUGGAAUC
Physeter macrocephalus (sperm whale) is the source of this 1197-nucleotide long non-coding RNA. RefSeq lists it as uncharacterized. The record is from RefSeq and is a predicted model, not a curated record. NCBI's taxonomy places the organism in Eukaryota, Metazoa, Chordata, Mammalia, Artiodactyla, Physeteridae. The transcript is spliced from 3 exons.